ACAAUAUAAUUUAAGUAAAACAAUAGCAAUUUAUUUGGGUAGCUUUUUGUAUGAGUUUGUUGUGUACAAGAAAUGUUAUAAAAGUGAGUUGAAAUACACAAUUUAUUUGAGCAGCUGUCGAUGUGGCAUGUGUGUUCAUCAAACUUAAAUAUUUGAAAUAAAAAACACAUAAAAAUUAAGUUGGAUUUAUCCCUUUUUCACUGGCGGGGACUUUCCAAGGCAGAUGCUUCCUCGGCACUUCAACUGUUUGAAAGCUGCAGCGGAUCUAAAUUUCACAGACUGAUUAACACGUCUCCGGUGGGGCAUGCAGCUAUCGUGGGGUCCUUGUGUUAUCAGCAGCAGAGUUGUAACCAAGCGUUUUUGUUACCUGGGGUCUUCAGAUACAGGAUCCGUCUGGCUAUGUGGAGAAAAGGAGAGAAGUGGUACUGAGAUGCCUGAUUGAGUACAUAUGGGAGGGAAAGGAAGACCUCAUCAGUGUCCACCAUAGUCAUGAUGAAACAGAGGUGCACGCUGAGCUUGGCAGUUCCCCACUGAAAAUAUACAUGCGCCAUCAGCCAAACACGAUUGGGAUUAUCACAGUAGAAGGACAGCCUAUGGUCAGAGGUGUGCCAAACCUGUAGAAAACCUCCUGUUUGGACUUGUCUAUGCCCACAACCUCUAAUAUCACUCAAAUCUGGUGUAUACUUCUGAGAUAUAUCACAGGCUCUUUGUGGGAUUGGACCCUAUGCAUACUUUUGUAUGUUUUGUAGGCACUGUUAAAAGUGACACUAGUUGACAUUGAAUAAAUGUUAUUGUCUUUAA
This is a long non-coding RNA of Carassius auratus (goldfish), 801 nucleotides long. RefSeq lists it as uncharacterized. The record is from RefSeq and is a predicted model, not a curated record. NCBI's taxonomy places the organism in Eukaryota, Metazoa, Chordata, Actinopteri, Cypriniformes, Cyprinidae. The transcript has 5 exons.